Oncorhynchus tshawytscha (Chinook salmon) is the source of this 966-nucleotide long non-coding RNA. Lineage: Eukaryota; Metazoa; Chordata; Actinopteri; Salmoniformes; Salmonidae. The record is from Ensembl.
UUAACUCAAAAUUAGUUUAUUUCAAAUCAUCCUUUGAAAGGAACUCUAACAACAUUUUACUAUUAACUUUUAAAAUGGACAAAUUCCAAUCCACAUAUUUUCCACAGCAGGAAAUGUUUAAUGCGUAAAUGUAUGAAAGGCUUGAAACACAUUUUAAAAGGCCAAAGUCCCCUUUUUAAAACCAACUGUGUGGAUGAAUAGAAUCUGACAGUAGCCAGCAACACAAGCCAGUCUGUUGUCAUUAUGUAACCUGGAGUGAAUCUAGCCAAGCCUCACAGGGUCUUACAGUAGGCAGCCUGGGUCUGUUCCGGACUGGGCCACAACAGAACAGCAGGAACCCUCCCUAGCUCUGGACCCUGUUAGACGUAUCCACAAAGCGUCUUAGUGUAGUGUUUUAGAUUCAAAUGAUUCAGAUUGUUAGGGACAAGGAGGACCUGAUCCUAGACCAGUACUACUCUUAAAGACGCUUUGUGGAGAGACUACCCUCCUCAGAACCAACAGUAGAACAGAGGUUAUCCUCAGAACCAACAGUAGAACAGAGGUAAUCCUCCUCAGAACCAACAGUAGAACAGAGAGGCUAUCCUCCUCAGAACCAACAGUAGAGCAGAGAGAUAAUCCUCCUCAGAACCAACAGUAGAACAGAGAGGUUAUCCUCCUCAGAACCAACAGUAGAACAGAGGUUAUCCUCCUCAGAACCAACAGUAGAACAGGGAGGUUAUCCUCCCCAAAACCAACAGUAGAACAGAGAUGUUAUCCUCCUCAGAACCAACAGUAGAACAGAGAGAGAGGUUAUCCUCCUCAAAACCAACAGUAGAACAGAGAUGUUAUCCUCCUCAAAACCAACAGUAGAACAGAGAUGUUAUCCUCAGAACCAACAGUAGAACAGAGAGGUUAUCCUCCUCAGAACCAACAGUAGAGCAGAGAGAGAGGUUAUCCUCCUCAGAACCAACAGUAGAACAGAGAGAG